UACGGAGAGGGCAAGCGUUGUUCGGAUUUAUUGGGCGUAAAGCGAGCGUAGGCGGUAUGGUAAGUCGGAUGUUAAAGACCCACGGCUCACCCGGGGGAAUGCGUCCGAUACUGCCAUACUGGAGUGAGGGAGAGGGAAGUGGAAUUCCUGGUGUAGCGGUGAAAUGCGUAGAUAUCAGGAGGAACAUCUGUGGCGAAGGCGGCUUCCUGGCCCUUAACUGACGCUGAGGCUCGAAAGCGUGGGGAGCGAACGGG
RNAcentral lists this ribosomal RNA (254 nucleotides) under uncultured bacterium. RNAcentral's name for it is "partial 16S ribosomal RNA". It matches the Rfam family "Bacterial small subunit ribosomal RNA", at positions 524 to 776 of the family's 1533-position model. The record is from RNAcentral.